AUCCAAAUGACAAAUCCAAAAUAGGAUGAAACGCGCGUCAAACUAGAU
Molecule: non-coding RNA, 48 nt
Filed under: Schistosoma curassoni
Lineage: Eukaryota; Metazoa; Platyhelminthes; Trematoda; Strigeidida; Schistosomatidae
Source: RNAcentral